Molecule: ribosomal RNA, 254 nt
Filed under: uncultured bacterium
Lineage: Bacteria
Description: partial 16S ribosomal RNA
Rfam family: Bacterial small subunit ribosomal RNA
Source: RNAcentral
UACGUAGGGCGCAAGCGUUGUCCGGAAUUAUUGGGCGUAAAGAGCUCGUAGGCGGUUUGUUACGUCUGCUGUGAAAACCUAGGGCUUAACCCUGGGCCUGCAGUGGAUACGGGCAGACUAGAGGUAGGUAGGGGAGAAUGGAAUUCCCGGUGUAGCGGUGAAAUGCGCAGAUAUCGGGAGGAACACCGGUGGCGAAGGCGGUUCUCUGGGCCUUACCUGACACUGAGGAGCGAAAGCGUGGGGAGCGAAACAGG